Molecule: transfer RNA, 72 nt
Filed under: Erinaceus europaeus (western European hedgehog)
Lineage: Eukaryota; Metazoa; Chordata; Mammalia; Eulipotyphla; Erinaceidae
Rfam family: tRNA
About the family: Transfer RNA (tRNA) molecules are approximately 80 nucleotides in length. Their secondary structure includes four short double-helical elements and three loops (D, anti-codon, and T loops).
Source: Rfam by way of RNAcentral
AGGGAUGAAGCUCAGUGGUAAAACAUAUGCUUUGCAUGCUUAAGGCCCUAGGUUUGAUCCCUAGCAUCUUAA